RNAcentral lists this ribosomal RNA (484 nucleotides) under uncultured bacterium. Its description in RNAcentral is "partial 16S ribosomal RNA". It matches the Rfam family "Bacterial small subunit ribosomal RNA", at positions 30 to 507 of the family's 1533-position model. The record is from RNAcentral.
AUUGAACGCUGGCGGCAGGCCUAACACAUGCAAGUCGAGCGGAUGAAGGGAGCUUGCUCCUGGAUUCAGCGGCGGACGGGUGAGUAAUGCCUAGGAAUCUGCCUGGUAGUGGGGGAUAACGUCCGGAAACGGGCGCUAAUACCGCAUACGUCCUGAGGGAGAAAGUGGGGGAUCUUCGGACCUCACGCUAUCAGAUGAGCCUAGGUCGGAUUAGCUAGUUGGUGGGGUAAAGGCCUACCAAGGCGACGAUCCGUAACUGGUCUGAGAGGAUGAUCAGUCACACGGGAACUGAGACACGGUCCAGACUCCUGCGGGAGGCAGCAGUGGGGAAUAUUGGACAAUGGGCGGAAGCCUUAUCCAGCCAUGCCGCGUGUGUGAAGAAGGUCUUCGGAUUGUAAAGCACUUUAAGUUGGGAGGAAGGGCAGUAAGUUAAUACCUUGCUGUUUUGACGUUACCAACAGAAUAAGCACCGGCUAACUUCGUG